AUUGAACGCUGGCGACAUGCCUUACACAUGCAAGUCGAACGGCAGCACGGGUGCUUGCCCCUGGUGGCGAGUGGCGAACGGGUGAGUAAUACAUCGGAACAUGUCCUGUAGUGGGGGAUAGCCCGGCGAAAGCCGGAUUAAUACCGCAUACGAUCUACGGAUGAAAGCGGGGGACCUUCGGGCCUCGCGCUAUAGGGUUGGUCGAUGGCUGAUUAGCUAGUUGGUGGGGUAAAGGCCUACCAAGGCGACGAUCAGUAGCUGGUCUGAGAGGACGACCAGUCACACUGGGACUGAGACACGGCCCAGACUCCUACGGGAGGCAGCAGUGGGGAAUUUUGGACAAUGGGCGAAAGCCUGAUCCAGCAAUGCCGCGUGUGUGAAGAAGGCCUUCGGGUUGUAAAGCACUUUUGUCCGGAAAGAAAUCCUUGGCCCUAAUACGGUCGGGGGAUGACGGUACCGGAAGAAUAAGCACCGGCUAACUACGUG
RNAcentral lists this ribosomal RNA (486 nucleotides) under uncultured bacterium. RNAcentral's name for it is "partial 16S ribosomal RNA". It matches the Rfam family "Bacterial small subunit ribosomal RNA", at positions 30 to 507 of the family's 1533-position model. The record is from RNAcentral.